CAGAGGGGGCAAGCGUUAUUCGGAAUUAUUGGGCGUAGAGGGCGCGUAGGCGGCUUUGCAAGUGACGGGUGAAAUCCCUCGGCUUAACCGAGGAACUGCCUGUCAAACUGCAUGGCUUGAGACCGGGAGAGGUGAGUGGAAUUCCCAGUGUAGCGGUGAAGUGCGUAGAUAUUGGGAGGAACACCAGUGGCGAAGGCGGCUCACUGGACCGGUACUGACGCUGAUGCGCGAAAGCGUGGGUAGCAAACAGGAUUAGAUACCCUGGUAGUCCACGCCGUAAACGAUGAGUGCUUGGUGUAGCGGGUAUCGACCCCUGCUGUGCCGAAGUCAACACAUUAAGCACUCCGCCUGGGGAGUACGGUCGCAAGGCUG
RNAcentral lists this ribosomal RNA (372 nucleotides) under uncultured organism. RNAcentral's name for it is "bacterial SSU rRNA". It matches the Rfam family "Bacterial small subunit ribosomal RNA", at positions 526 to 896 of the family's 1533-position model. The record is from RNAcentral.